GAGUCGAGCGGGUCCUUCGGGACUAGCGGCGGACGGGUGAGUAACGCGUGGGAACGUGCCCUUUGGUACGGAACAACUGAGGGAAACUUCAGCCAAUACCGUAUGUGCCCUUCGGGGGAAAGAUUUAUCGCCAUUGGAGCGGCCCGCGUUGGAUUAGGUAGUUGGUGAGGUAAAGGCUCACCAAGCCUACGAUCCAUAGCUGGUCUGAGAGGAUGACCAGCCACACUGGGACUGAGACACGGCCCAGACUCCUACGGGAGGCAGCAGUAGGGAAUCUUGCGCAAUGGGCGAAAGCCUGACGCAGCCAUGCCGCGUGAAUGAUGAAGGUCUUAGGAUUGUAAAAUUCUUUCACCGGGGACGAUAAUGACGGUACCCGGAGAAGAAGCCCCGGCUAACUUCGUGCCAGCAGCCGCGGUAAUACGAAGGGGGCUAGCGUUGCUCGGAAUUACUGGGCGUAAAGGGAGCGUAGGCGGAUAGUUUAGUCAGAGGUGAAAGCCCAGGGCUCAACCUUGGAACUGCCUUUGAUACUGGCUAUCUUGAGUAUGGGAGAGGUGAGUGGAACUCCGAGUGUAGAGGUGAAAUUCGUAGAU
This 590-nucleotide ribosomal RNA is filed under the name uncultured bacterium. RNAcentral describes it as "bacterial SSU rRNA". It matches the Rfam family "Bacterial small subunit ribosomal RNA", at positions 59 to 695 of the family's 1533-position model. The record is from RNAcentral.